Molecule: long non-coding RNA, 898 nt
Organism: Amphiprion ocellaris (clown anemonefish)
Lineage: Eukaryota; Metazoa; Chordata; Actinopteri; Pomacentridae
Source: Ensembl
GGUUGAACCAUUUGGAGCAGUUUCGGCUUCUUUUAGAGAGGAUUAGAGAAGAAGGGACUGUGUGAGGAGAAUUUCAGAGAUAGCAGUGAGACACAUGAAGCAGCAGAACCCAGACAGAAAGUAGAAGCUGAAGGGAGGCUUCUGAGGAAAGUCGGUGUUUUCAGAAAAAUCUCUUCCUGGGCUUUAUUUCUGUAUUCAUCUGUCACGCUGGCUGUGGAUUGUGUGGUUGACUGACUAACAGACUGCAAGUUAUGAUAACCCAACUACUGGAUUUGCAUCGGUUCUCCCGUAAUUAACAGGAGGCUAAACUGAAACACAAGGACUCCUGGCAGGGGUUUUGGCUUACUACUAAUCCAAAUCAAUCCGUGCCUUAUGCGCUGUGGCUUUAACCCCUUAAAACAAACAUUUGCUUUGCAUAGAGACACAGUUUUAACAAAACACUCUGAGCCGAUGUUGCUGACAAGGUUGUCCCAGGUAAUGGCAUUUAACUGUCAACCUCAGACCUACAUUUUCAAAUGUUAAGCUAAAAUCCAGAGCUGAGAAACCGAUCAGACUUUAUGUGAUCAGCCUCACUAUUUGGAUGCCAGCCGUCUCAGCUAGCAUGUUUGUGUUGGGAGCAUUUUCCAUGCAGCCAAGAACUGGUGCACAGAUGCCAACAAUCUGAGACAACUUUCAACACUAUCGAAGUCAGCUGUCACAACCACAGCGGCACACAAACACGCAUUCCUGUGUGUUUCCAUUCCAGUGAGUGUGUCCACAUGGAAAAAUAAAAGGGUGUGACUUCUCUGAGAUAUAAGGCUGCUACAGAGUUUGAACGAACACACUGCAGUGCAAUUUUAUUGAUGUCCUAAUGGACAUGUAAAUUGCUAACAGUGUUGUGCAGCACCAACAAUUGAUG